Molecule: long non-coding RNA, 1699 nt
Filed under: Drosophila guanche
Lineage: Eukaryota; Metazoa; Arthropoda; Insecta; Diptera; Drosophilidae
Source: RNAcentral
GUCAUAAUGACCAUCGACACUAACACUAGAACUUUACACUGAGUGAGAUUUUUUAUUUCCACUCUUUCUUGCGGGACAUUCAACUGUUUGUUCCUUGAUCGCACUCAAACACUGCACUCACUAUUGCCAAUAAAUGCUUUGCCGCAUGGGACCGCUGGGACCCGCUUUUAAAAAACUUAGAAAACAAAAUAAAAAAAUAAAAAAAAUUAAUCUGAAUUGGCAUUUUUACUUUCGCUCACUAUGGCCGAAUCCGCCUGGCCCUCCUUGCCGUCAUUAUGACCAUCGACACUAACACUUGCACUUAACACUGAGUGAGAUUUUUUAUUUCCGCUAUUUCUUUAGUCUUGCGGGACUCACUCUUACACUUCACUCACUUUUAACCACUUGUUGUAACGCUUUUCGCCGGCACUGUUUGCCGGUUUACACACUCACAUAAAGCAAAGAAAAAAAAACAACAAAAAAACACUCAAACAGAAGGGCACAUCACGCCAUUGUGCCUCUAUUUUACUGCAUCUUUUUUCCACUCAUAUUCCGAUGCGAUAAAACUGCGACACAAUUGGCUUCUCUUUUUCGUGCCUUUUUCACUUGAAAAAACGUGGUUUUUUUCACUUUCUGGGAUAUAUUUUCAAUAUUUACCAAUCUUUUGAAUUUAUCACAUUUGGAGGUGCGCUUUUCAAGAAAUUUUCAUGACUUUACCACUUUUUAGGCAAUUUUUACAUUAAAACACUUACUGCACUUAUCACACGGGUUUUUAUUUAAAAUUUUCCUUCACGACAUGACCAAACAUUAUUUUGCCCCGCCAGUUAAAAUUUUACUUAUUAGUCUUUGCAUUGCCUUUGAAUUGAUUUUGCGAAUGUUCUUGAAGGCCAGAGGAAGACGCAGAGUGCGUGGAUGAGAUCAUCAGCAUAUAAAUGGAGAUUGAUUUGCAAGGGUUGGUGUCGCAAAGACAUGAAGCGAGGGCGUAAAGUUAAGAGAACCUUUUUGCUUAGAUAAUCUAAGAGCGGCGACACUUUUGCAAUGAGUGUUUGUGUUAGUGUUGUUUGCCUAUGUUAAGAAUUGAGAAGAGCGCUGAAUAGAUCUGAGAGUGGUUUGGUUUUACAAAAGUGUGUGAUCUUAUUGUCGUUGCUUUAGCAGCCUAUGCUCUAAAGGCGUGGGAGUGAGAUGGAGAGUGCGUGGAUACGGGACCUUUUACUCUUGUUUCUUUGCACUGGCACUUUCAUAUCUGCUUACACUGCUCUCACUGCCGUCACUCUACCACUCAGCAAAAAGGGAAAAAAAACUCAAUCACGCCAUGGAUGGUUCCGUUAUUUUGCGUUGUCUUCAUCGCACUCCAAUUCUCCUACACACAUACAUUCAAAAGAUCGUUGGCGGCGGUAUUAAAACUGCGACGCAAUUGCAAAUUUUCGGGCAUCUUUUCUCGAAGAAAAUAUAUGAAAUCUAUUGUUUUAACAAUUACUGUGAUUUUAUUUUAAUUGUUCCUGACCCUUUGGCUCUCGACACACAUGGCUUUUGCAUUUUCCACCCUUUUUUAACAUUUAUCAUAACUUUUUCGUAGGUUUUUCACUUUUUCCGGCACAUUUUUCUUUUAAACACUUUCUGCAACUAUCACACGGGUUUUUGUUUAAUUUUCCGAACUUUUUCUACAAUUUUUCCGCAUUUUUAGUUCCGCGACUCGAAAAAACGUGCUGCUGCGACGGAG